This 301-nucleotide ribosomal RNA is filed under the name uncultured bacterium. RNAcentral describes it as "partial 16S ribosomal RNA". It matches the Rfam family "Bacterial small subunit ribosomal RNA", at positions 509 to 807 of the family's 1533-position model. The record is from RNAcentral.
CAGUAGCCACGGUAAUACGUAGGGUGCAAGCGUUAAUCGGAAUUACUGGGCGUAAAGCGUACGCAGGCGGUUAUAUAAGUCAGAUGUGAAAUCCCCGGGCUCAACCUGGGAACUGCAUUUGAGACUGUAUGGCUAGAGUGUGUCAGAGGGGGGUAGAAUUCCACGUGUAGCAGUGAAAUGCGUAGAUAUGUGGAGGAAUACCGAUGGCGAAGGCAGCCCCCUGGGAUAACACUGACGCUCAUGCACGAAAGCGUGGGGAGCAAACAGGAUUAGAUACCCGUGUAGUCCCUGUCUCUUAUAC